Molecule: long non-coding RNA, 649 nt
Organism: Schistocerca gregaria
Lineage: Eukaryota; Metazoa; Arthropoda; Insecta; Orthoptera; Acrididae
Exons: 3
Source: RefSeq, a predicted model, not a curated record
AGUACUACGCUCACAGCCCAGCUAUCUGACUUGCCAUGCUUAACAACUCAGAGGCCCAAUCUAAGCAAAGAGACUCGCCACUUAUUUACCAAUCAUAUCAUCGAAGAUGUCAUCCUUAGGCAAGAGAAGACGAGAAGAUAGGACUUCCUCUAGCAAUUUAUUUAAAUCAUCUAAAAAAAGCUCGAAUGAAUACAAACAAGAGGACCUUCCCCCGAACUAUCCCUCAGAAAUAAAUCUAAACUUCAAAAAUACCAAUUGGGAUCCCCAAAGAAAAACUAGAGGACAAAUUUGGCCUAAACUAAAAAAAAUUUAUCAGCUAGAAAAUUAUGACCAAUAUCCUCCAACCACCGUCACGCAUAUGAGCAUAGAAGCGCCCGUGUCAGUUCUCCCUCCCAAAAAAUAUUGUGACAUCACGGGCUUUGAAGCACGAUACACUUACCCAUCAAAUGGCAUACGGUAUGCCAAUGCAGAAGUCUAUCAAUGGAUUCUCCAAAACCUGACUACGUUCGAGAGUCAGCAAGAAGUUCUGGGUCUUCGAGGCGCAGAGACGCGAAUUAAAUAGCUUGAUAAGUGCCCAUUUUAUGUGCAACAAAAUCUGUUUUAAUGGCUACCACCUUUCUAAAAGAUCUACACAACCUGGAUACAAAAA